AGUGAACGCUGGCGGUAGGCCUAACACAUGCAAGUCGAACGGCAGCACAGUAAGAGCUUGCUCUUACGGGUGGCGAGUGGCGGACGGGUGAGGAAUACAUCGGAAUCUACUUUUUCGGGGGGGAUAACGUAGGGAAACUUACGCUAAUACCGCAUACGACCUACGGGUGAAAGCAGGGGAUCUUCGGACCUUGCGCGAUUGAAUGAGCCGAUGUCGGAUUAGCUAGUUGGCGGGGUAAAGGCCCACCAAGGCGACGAUCCGUAGCUGGUCUGAGAGGAUGAUCAGCCACACUGGAACUUAGACACGGUCCAGACUCCUACGGGAGGCAGCAGUGGGGAAUAUUGGACAAUGGGCGCAAGCCUGAUCCAGCCAUACCGCGUGGGUGAAGAAGGCCUUCGGGUUGUAAAGCCCUUUUGUUGGGAAAGAAAAGCAGCAGGUUAAUACCCCGCUGUUCUGACGGUACCCAAAGAAUAAGCACCGGCUAACUUCGUG
This 492-nucleotide ribosomal RNA is filed under the name uncultured bacterium. RNAcentral describes it as "partial 16S ribosomal RNA". It matches the Rfam family "Bacterial small subunit ribosomal RNA", at positions 29 to 507 of the family's 1533-position model. The record is from RNAcentral.